Long non-coding RNA from Balaenoptera ricei (Rice's whale), 879 nucleotides. RefSeq lists it as uncharacterized. The transcript has 2 exons. The record is from RefSeq and is a predicted model, not a curated record. Lineage: Eukaryota; Metazoa; Chordata; Mammalia; Artiodactyla; Balaenopteridae.
AGAUAUUAGUAAAGCCCUUUGUCAGAAAUAGUUAAAUAUGCUGGAUGACUCCUUCCUGGUUUGGGUCUUAGUCCCCUUUUUUUCUAAAUUUCCCAGACAGUUACUUCUAGGUGGGCACCCAUUAUUCACUUACUGUAUAAAGAGCAGAUGUGCUACCGUUUAAAGAAGCCUACAAUUAGACACUGUACAUUAAGGCAAACAUGCUGCAUCUCUAAUCCUCACAACACCACAAUAUGUUUUCUGUUAUCCCCAUUUUACAGAUGAAGAAGCUGAGCUUCAGAUAGGUAACUGGUUUUAAAUCCUAGUUAAUGGAACUGCUCUAUUGCACCAUUCUAAUGAUUCGUUAAAGAAAGUUGUACAGCAACAAGGAAAAGGGAUGAAAAGAUGAAACAAGAAUGAAAAGGAAAGAAUAUGGAGAAAGAGAGGAACUGGAAUUUAAAAAAAAAAAGAGCCUCCUAAAGUUGUUUAAGGCUUCAAUCACUUUUACCCAUACCAUCACAAGAUUAAUGUGUGCUCCAGGCUUUCCUGGUGGCACAGCGGUUAAGAAUCCACCUUCCAGUGCAGGGGACACGGGUUUGAGCCCUAGUCCGGGAAGAUCCCACAUGCCGCGGAGCAACUGGGCCCGUGCACCACAACUACUGAGCCUGUGCUUAGAGCCUGCGAGCCACAACUACUGAGCCCGAGUGCCACAACUACUGAGGCCCGCACACCUAGAGCCCGUGCUCUGCAACAAGAGAAGCCACCCAAUGAGAAGCCCGCGCACCGCAACCAAGAGUAGCCCCCGCUCACUGCAGCUAGAGAAAAUCCCGUGCGCAGCAACAAAGACCCAACACAGCCAAAAAUAAAUAAAUAAAUAAAUAAAUUAAUUAUUUUAAAAAA